RNAcentral lists this ribosomal RNA (146 nucleotides) under Escherichia coli. Its description in RNAcentral is "partial 16S ribosomal RNA". It matches the Rfam family "Bacterial small subunit ribosomal RNA", at positions 1 to 140 of the family's 1533-position model. The record is from RNAcentral. Lineage: Bacteria; Pseudomonadati; Pseudomonadota; Gammaproteobacteria; Enterobacterales; Enterobacteriaceae. RNAcentral also lists the same sequence under 1 other name.
AAAUUGAAGAGUUUGAUCAUGGCUCAGAUUGAACGCUGGCGGCAGGCCUAACACAUGCAAGUCGAACGGUAACAGGAAACAGCUUGCUGUUUCGCUGACGAGUGGCGGACGGGUGAGUAAUGUCUGGGAAACUGCCCGAUGGAGGG